GUCCACGCUGUAACGAUGAGCGCUAGGUGUUGCGGGUGUUGACCCCUGCAGUGCCGAAGCUAACGCAUUAAGCGCUCCGCCUGGGAAGUACGGCCGCAAGGCUAAACUCAAAGGAAUUGACGGGGCCCGCACAAGCGGUGGAGCAUGUGGUUUAAUUCGACGCAACGCGCAGAACCUUACCUGGUCUUGACAUCCUAGGAACCUGCCAGAGAUGGUGGGGUGCCCGCAAGGGAGCCUAGAGACAGGUGCUGCAUGGCUGUCGU
Molecule: ribosomal RNA, 263 nt
Filed under: uncultured bacterium
Lineage: Bacteria
Description: partial 16S ribosomal RNA
Rfam family: Bacterial small subunit ribosomal RNA
Source: RNAcentral